AUGCGAUAAGUAGUGUGAAUUGCAGAAUUCAGUGAAUCAUCGAAUCUUUGAACGCACAUUGCGCCCCUUGGUAUUCCAUGGGGCAUGCCUGUUCGAGCGUCAUUUGUACCCUCAAGCUCUGCUUGGUGUUGGGUGUUUGUCCUCUCCUUUUGCGAUUGGACUCGCCUUAAAGAAAUUGGCAGCCAGUGUAUUGGUAUGGAAGCGCAGCACAAUUUGCGAUUCUAGCCAACGGUCACUUGCCCCCAACAAGCCCUUUUUAACACUUUUGACCUCGGAUCAGGUAGGGAUACCCGCUGAACUUAA
Molecule: unclassified non-coding RNA, 303 nt
Filed under: uncultured Acericola
Lineage: Eukaryota; Fungi; Ascomycota; Dothideomycetes; Pleosporales; Phaeosphaeriaceae
Description: partial contains 5.8S ribosomal RNA, internal transcribed spacer 2, and large subunit ribosomal RNA
Rfam family: 5.8S ribosomal RNA (bases 1-102)
Source: RNAcentral